This 474-nucleotide ribosomal RNA is filed under the name uncultured bacterium. RNAcentral's name for it is "bacterial SSU rRNA". It matches the Rfam family "Bacterial small subunit ribosomal RNA", at positions 29 to 486 of the family's 1533-position model. The record is from RNAcentral.
AACGAACGCUGGCGGCGCGUUUUAAGCAUGCAAGUCGAACGGGAUUGAAGAAGCUUGCACCUCCAUGAGAGUGGCGAACGGGUGAGUAACACGUAGAUGAUCUGCCUUGAGGUUGGGGAUAGCCCAUGGAAACAUGGGGUAAUACCGAAUAAGCUGCUUGAUGUAAAGGUCAAGUAGGAAAGGGGCUUAGGCCUCGCCUUGAAGAUGAGUCUGCGUCUUAUUAGUUAGUUGGUGGGGUAACGGCCUACCAAGACGACGAUAAGUAGCCGGCCUGAGAGGGUGACCGGCCACACUGGAACUGAGACACGGUCCAGACUCCUACGGGAGGCAGCAGCUAAGAAUCUUCCGCAAUGGGCGCAAGCCUGACGGAGCGACGCCGCGUGUGUGAUGAAGGCCGUGAGGUUGUAAAGCACUUUUUUGUUACUGAAGAUAAGGGCAGUAGGGAAUGACUGCUUGAUGACGUUAGGUAACGAA